This 26-nucleotide non-coding RNA is filed under the name Rattus norvegicus (Norway rat). The record is from RNAcentral. Lineage: Eukaryota; Metazoa; Chordata; Mammalia; Rodentia; Muridae.
UGACACCAGCACCUGUGACCGUGUGU